This 492-nucleotide ribosomal RNA is filed under the name uncultured bacterium. Its description in RNAcentral is "partial 16S ribosomal RNA". It matches the Rfam family "Bacterial small subunit ribosomal RNA", at positions 29 to 507 of the family's 1533-position model. The record is from RNAcentral.
AGUGAACGCUGGCGGUAGGCCUAACACAUGCAAGUCGAACGGCAGCACAGUAAUAGCUUCCUCUUACGGCUGCCGAGUGGCGGGCGGGGGCUAAAUACCUCGGAAUCUGCUUUUUCGUGGGUGAUAACGUGGGGACACUUACGCUAAUACCGCAUACGACCUACGGGUGAAAGCAUCGGAUCUUCGGACCUUGCGCGAUCCAAUGUCGCGAUGUCGGAUUAGCUAGUUGGAGGGGUAAAGGCCCACCAAGGCGACGAUCCGUAGCUGGUCUGAGAGGAUGAUCAGCCACACUGGAACUGAGACACGGUCCAGACUCCUACGGGAGGCAGCAGUGGGGAAUAUUGGACAAUGGGCGCAAGCCUGAUCCAGCCAUGCCGCGUGUGUGAAGAAGGUCUUCGGAUUGUAAAGCACUUUUGUUGGGAAAGAAAAGCAGCAGGUUAAUACCUCGCUGUUCUGACGGUACCAAAAGAAUAAGCACCGGCUAACUUCGUG